Molecule: non-coding RNA, 381 nt
Organism: Erinaceus europaeus (western European hedgehog)
Lineage: Eukaryota; Metazoa; Chordata; Mammalia; Eulipotyphla; Erinaceidae
Source: Rfam
CAGAGCCCGCCAGCCGCUAAGCCAGGGCCACACCUGGGGGUGAUGUCCGCCUCACCUCCAGUAGGCACCUCGGCCUCUCCGGGCUAAUCAUCUCUGGCUCCCUCGCACUAACUCGCUCUCCCCUUUGGCUAACCUCCGCCUAGGCCUGGCUGCCCCCGGGGGGCUGAUACUCCAGGCCAGCCCUGCCCGUCGGGGGUCUCCAGGCGUCUAGUCUGGCUCUGAAUGAACCUCCCUCACCGUGACUAACUCUCGCCCUUGCGGUCUGUUCCUCCAGCAGAAACUAACGGCUUGCGGACUUCUCUCUGACUAACAGCCGGUCUAACACCCCCAGCUCCCCCCCCCCCCACCAUGAGUGAUGGCUUGGGUGUCCGCAUGGCUGGG